Aethalodelphis obliquidens (Pacific white-sided dolphin) is the source of this 899-nucleotide long non-coding RNA. RefSeq lists it as uncharacterized. The transcript has 3 exons. Lineage: Eukaryota; Metazoa; Chordata; Mammalia; Artiodactyla; Delphinidae. The record is from RefSeq and is a predicted model, not a curated record.
ACCUGGGAGGAGACGCAAACUGAGGUCAGAGGUCAGGAGGACUUUUUGGGUAGGGGAUAGGUCAUUUGUCUCAAACGAUGGCAUCCUUUCUCUUUUCCUUUAUCAUAACCCUUUGGUGACUAACAGCCUAUUAAUAAGAUCUACCAUUCUGCAGGAGAUGGCUUCAUAAGCGAUUCAUCUAUGAUCUCAAACCAAAUGCAGCUGAGUUACAAAAUGUUCCUGGAUUUAUGCUCUUGUAAUAUGCACGCAUCUUUAGAAAUGGUAAAGGAAGAGCAUAAUUGUGCCUCAGCAGCUUCUGCCUCGGGGGUGCCUUUGAUUCAGCUCCCCAGAGGCCUUGUGGCAGCUGGGAAGUGGCGGGCCUGUGGCUGGAGGGAAAGGACAAGAGGUGUCUGCCCUGACUCUGCCUGCUAGGAGGACAAGAGAGGAGCAGUUUCUGCAAGCAGUGGUUUCCUGAACCCUAGUCCACAGAGAUGAAGUGUUCUCCAGCCCAUGCAGCCCAAGGUAAAGAAAGCCCUGGCUCCCUUCUCACUGCUUGAAGUCCAGAGGUUCAUUUCUGCUUGGCCCCAGGAGCCCCUAGCUCAGAAGAGGCAAGUGUUUUGGGGCUGGGCUGGGUGGGGCCCAAGAGAUACAUUCUGGUUGUCAGGACAUUAGAAUCUUAUCCAUCAUCAGUGUUACUGUCUUUAAUAGCAGGCCUGGCGGAAGAUACCAUUCAUUGCCUAUAAGGGGCAUUAUCCUGAGGAUGUUUCCUACUCUCUCCUUAGCCUUCAUGGACAUACUUUGGAUAAAUGUGAUUAGCCACCUAGGGAAGCAGGAGACAUUUAUUAGCUAGGGAGAGAGCCCUUUCCUGCAGGUGGGUGUUGUCUUCCAUGUACUCAACAUACCUGGAGGCUUGGUUGGGA